Molecule: non-coding RNA, 62 nt
Filed under: Kitasatospora sp. Root187
Lineage: Bacteria; Bacillati; Actinomycetota; Actinomycetes; Kitasatosporales; Streptomycetaceae
Also listed under: 1 other name
Source: RNAcentral
UGGCAGGCGAGUUGAUCGCCCCGGACGAGCGCGUCGUACCCGGUCUGACAAGACGGCGCAGU